Molecule: small nuclear RNA, 184 nt
Organism: Dermacentor andersoni
Lineage: Eukaryota; Metazoa; Arthropoda; Arachnida; Ixodida; Ixodidae
Product: U2 spliceosomal RNA
Source: RefSeq, a predicted model, not a curated record
AGACGUGGCCGAAGUGGGCCAAAAUGUAGUACAUGUUGUUACCAGCUUAACAUAUGAUACAGCUUGUAUGUGGGCUUAAUAUAUCAAACUGAUUUUUGCAAGUUGACGGAGAGAUUAAAGGCUGCUCCACCUCCAGCGCAGGUCAACCCGGUAUAGGACUAUUUUCGGGAUUGGCUUACGUAUG